This 484-nucleotide ribosomal RNA is filed under the name uncultured bacterium. RNAcentral describes it as "partial 16S ribosomal RNA". It matches the Rfam family "Bacterial small subunit ribosomal RNA", at positions 29 to 507 of the family's 1533-position model. The record is from RNAcentral.
AUUGAACGCUGGCGGCAUGCUUUACACAUGCAAGUCGAACGGCAGCGCGGGCUUCGGCCUGGCGGCGAGUGGCGAACGGGUGAGUAAUGCAUCGGAACGUGCCCAGUAGUGGGGGAUAGCCCGGCGAAAGCCGGAUUAAUACCGCAUACGACCUGAGGGUGAAAGCGGGGGACCGAAAGGCCUCGCGCUAUUGGAGCGGCCGAUGUCGGAUUAGCUAGUUGGUGGGGUAAAGGCUUACCAAGGCGACGAUCCGUAGCUGGUCUGAGAGGACGACCAGCCAAAACUGGAAUGGGGAAAGGCCCCGGACUCUUAGGGAGGCAGCAGGUGGGAAAUUUUGACAAUGGGGGCAACCCUGAUCCAGCCAUGCCGCGUGCGGGAAGAAGGCCUUCGGGUUGUAAACCGCUUUUGUUCGGGAAGAAAUCCUCUGGGCUAAUACCCCGGGGGGAUGACGGUACCGGAAGAAUAAGCACCGGCUAACUACGUG